GGGAGAGAAGAGGGGAACUGUGUGUGGUGGGAGUUGAAAGAUGGGGACAGGAAGCUGAAGGAUACUGAAAGAGAAAGAGAGAAGAAAAGAGUAAGGAGAGAAGUCAGAUUUUCCAUUGUUUUCACCAAGAGUAGCUGGAGUAAGAGAAGAAUCUAAUAAUGUUGGAUGCCUCCCCCACAACCCAAAUGAUCAAGAUUUCAAGACAGAAGUUUUCACCUCGUGGAGUAUCAAAGGCUGCUGAUGUGAUUCAGCCCAUCCUGUAUGCUAGGUUGGGCAAACCCGGUGCUGGGCAGCUGGACUCUGCUGCCCUGACUGCCAACCCAGUGGUCUGAGCCUGCCCAAAAAGCAACAGCAAGGAGCAGCACUGUCAGAGCACACAGGGCAUAUCCCAGUGCAUGUGCCUUUCAGACGUUCAUUAAUGCAGCUUUGCAACAAGGUGUUAAUGUGCUCAUUUCAGUGACUGCAUUUUGCAGCUAAGUUGGCCUCUACGCUGGAUGUAUUGCUAAAGUUUAGUGCUGGAAAAACCUCGUUAUCAAUGUAAUAUGUAAAUAUUUUUUUUAAAUGUCUCAAUCCUUAGCUCAAUAUACUCUCAGUUAAAAAAAAUAUGACAACAAAC
Molecule: long non-coding RNA, 616 nt
Filed under: Phasianus colchicus (ring-necked pheasant)
Lineage: Eukaryota; Metazoa; Chordata; Aves; Galliformes; Phasianidae
Description: lncRNA (ENSPCLG00000001043.1)
Source: RNAcentral